Salvia splendens (bonfire salvia) is the source of this 1265-nucleotide long non-coding RNA. RefSeq lists it as uncharacterized. The transcript has 8 exons. The record is from RefSeq and is a predicted model, not a curated record. Lineage: Eukaryota; Viridiplantae; Streptophyta; Magnoliopsida; Lamiales; Lamiaceae.
UAAACCUGGUAUCUGCUACUUCAGCUUCCAUUAGCUCUAAAAUCCACUCUGCGACUCAUGUAUCUUCACAAAAGUCCAUGUGAGAAGUGAUAUAGCUCCUGUCUGCACCUGGAAAUGAUUCUGUCUCGACUGAGAAGUUCUUUUAUGUACUGGCUCUAACAAGUUAAAACAAAGAAACAAAUACUGUGAUAGGGAGAAAUUCAAUGCCCGGAAAGAGGACUUUUGGAAAGAAGAUGGAAUGCAGCCUGUAUAGUAGAGAUUAGGCACAGUCCAGUUGCUCAUUCUUUUACGUUCAAUUGACUCUCAUUCUCUUGCUUGAAAAAUAUGUUUUCUAUAGUUGAAUAAGGAUUGUCUAGUAAUAUGGUUGUCCGAGAUUUCUUCUAAAUCCUUAGUUUCGUCAAGGUUUCUUCACGAUAUUGAUUUUUCAUAUUGUUCACUUUAGGGUCAUAUUUAUUAGUGAUAACUGGACGUGAAUGCGUUGGAUCUUAUUUGGGCCACUCCAUUUACAAAGUGACAUCAUUGAAGGUUUUUCCAUGUGAUCAUUUACUCAAGAAUUUUCCUGAAGAACAGAAAAAGAUGGAGAGUGAGUUUUCUCGCUUGCUAAAUGUUGCAGAGAGGACUCCAGUGCUCAGAGGUUGCAAGAUUUGGGUGAUGAAUCAAAAUCGCUGCCCCUUUGGAGACAAGCUGACCCUCAAUUUCUUUGGAACAACUAUAUGCUGGAAGUGCUUAUAGACAACAAGCUUGACCCAUUCCUCCUCCAUAUCAUUCAAGGCAGUAUCCUUUUAAUUGUCCUGAUGUUUCAGUACCUCAUGCCAUGUUAUGGUUGGCAUAAGCAUAUCAUAAUUUUACAUUAAGUGAUGCCUAGAUAAGUUAUUAGGCUUUCAACACAUUCAAGCAGCCAUUGGGAAGGAUAUCCUUGAUGUUACACUAAUUGGACGAAGAUGCACAAGAAGAACAGGCACACGAAUGUGGAGACGAGGAGCUGAUUCUAAUGGUUUUGUAGCAAAUUUCGUGGAGAGUGAACAAAUCAUACAAAUUAAUGGGCACACUGUGUCCUUUAUUCAGGUGGAGGGUCAAUGCCAUUUCUUUGGGAUCAGAUUGUUGAUGACAUAUAAGCCAAAGUUUGAAAUCGUGAGACCUGAGGAAGCACAUAGAGUGGCUGAAAGACAUUUCUUAGAUCUAAGAAACAAAUAUGGCAGCGUUCUUGCGGUUGAUUUAGUGAACAAGGUACAUGGAAUCAUUUUUUUUUUUGCAAAGGGUAGAUU